AAACGCUUGAAGUCAGUCGCGUCUUCUGGAACUCAGCCUUGCUUCUGCUCGGUGCACUUUCCAGUCUGACGGGCCAGCAUCGGUUUCGGGCGGCAGACAAAGGCGAGGGGAAGGUGGCAGCUCCGGCUGUGUUAUAGCCCCUCGUUGUAUGUGCCCUCUGGGACCGAGGAAUCCGGCGCUCGCGCCUGGGAUGCUGGCGUAAUGGCUUUAAACGA
This 215-nucleotide ribosomal RNA is filed under the name Hydnodontaceae sp. RNAcentral describes it as "partial large subunit ribosomal RNA". The record is from RNAcentral. Lineage: Eukaryota; Fungi; Basidiomycota; Agaricomycetes; Trechisporales; Hydnodontaceae.